GUGUCAGCAGCCGCGGUAAUACGUAGGGGGCAAGCGUUGUCCGGAAUCAUUGGGCGUAAAGCGCGUGUAGGCGGCCAUCCAAGUCCGAUGUGAAAGCUCGGGGCUCAACCCCGAGUCUGCAUUGGAAACUGGCUGGCUUGAGUCCGGAAGAGGAGACUGGAAUUCCUGGUGUAGCGGUGAAAUGCGCAGAUAUCAGGAAGAACACCGGUGGCGAAGGCGGGUCUCUGGGACGGUACUGACGCUGAGACGCGAAAGCGUGGGGAGCAAACAGGAUUAGAUACCCUGGUAGUCCACGCCGUAAACGAUGGGCACUAGGUGUGGGAGGUGUCGACUCCUUCCGUGCCGUAGCUAACGCAUUAAGUGCCCCGCCUGGGGAGUACGGCCGCAAGGCUAAA
Molecule: ribosomal RNA, 395 nt
Filed under: uncultured bacterium
Lineage: Bacteria
Description: bacterial SSU rRNA
Rfam family: Bacterial small subunit ribosomal RNA
Source: RNAcentral